GACCCAGCCUCUAGCUAUAAGAGACAACUAACAGAGUUGGCAAGCCGUUCUUGUACAUCAGCAAACCUUAUUUUUACCACCAUCUCAUCCUCCUUAAUUAGCAAGCCUUAUUUUCCCUACUAUCACCAACAUCUCAUCCUCCGAUUGAGAUGCAGAUCUUGGCCUCUUCACUCAUCCAUGUGCUUCCUUACUUUAACGUCGACGCCGGCCGUUGCGGGACACGGGGGCUGAAGAGCUAGAGUAGCAAGUCACCGGGGUACGUGCUGUGGCUGGCCGGACGUCCGGCGAGGGAGGCAACCAGAGGGAUGCAUGUUCUCUCUGCCGGCACGCGCACGAAAGCAGCAACACCGAAUUUCGGAUUACCAUCGAGGGGGCGACAAUCAAUUUGUAGCCCAUUUAUGAGAUCAAAGGAGAAUUCCCUCAAGAAGACACGCCUAAAACUGAAGAUUUCAUGCAAAGGACAAAGGAUAAAAAGCAGAGAAUUAACCAGUUGCAGAAUUUACUUGGUCACUGGACAAUGAUGGCUAAUUUUAUCAAUACUGAAAACAGACAGAAAUUUUACUGCCGCGGACAAUGAUUAUGGAGACAUACUCAAAGCAAACGAACCUAUGCAUGAAGAGCUCUUAACGAUAUAGGUGUGUUCACGCCCGCGCGAUGCAUCAAGGAUGCGGGCACUGGCUAACUGGCUGGCCGACCGUAGAGAAGAGGUCCAUGGUGCAUCUGAUGGCUGAGGAGGCCGCCCUGCGCUCACAUCAGAGGAACUAAAAAAAUAAGGAGUAUGGGAAGUGUCUUACAGAACCAGUAUUGCGAGUCCAACCUCUACCAAGACAUCAGUAGGCCAUGAGACGAAAACCUCGAAGAAUGAUAGCUGGUCAUAACAGAUUGCUCAAACACGAGAAAAGCAACAACCGGCAUCCUAACAAAAAAACAAGUCCAAAAGCACAAAGCAGCUACAACUUAGCAAUAUCAGGCUCAGCAGAGAGACUGCAAGACAGAGCAGUGGCCUGAGUAUCCUUCAUCGCGUGACAAAUCUUCAUGGGGGGUCAUACAUUAAUUUGGGCAAUUGGAAAUUAAGGUAAUCAUUUUCUUUCUCCAGAGAACAUUAUAUUUCCCUUUGAAUAUAGUAAAUGGUGCGACACAAUGAUCUUGCAAUGUGCGAUGGAGAGUAGCUUACGUUUCCCCUUAUAUAGCCUCCCAGUUGGCGAAACAUCAAGAGGUCACGCAAGGACAAAAAGGAAUCAAAACUAAUGGAAAAUGGUGAACUGUUGGUUUUCUUGGAAUGAAUUAAGCUCCCACUCAAUUAAAUUAAAUGGUAACAAAAAAUUCAGCAUUCCAACGGACAACUCAUGCACUAGCUAGGGUUAGCACGAUCAUGAAAUAGGAGGCCCCUACCCACACCCACCCAACCAGUGGCAAUGCGAGACUAAACUCUUUGCACACCAAAUGCAAGUUGAAUGUGCCCCUUAUGUUUUUUUAAUUACAUUGGUUGGUGCCCGUAAAAUUUAGCUCUCUUUAGAACUAAAUUAUAAGAAGUGUAUUAAUAGAACACACCAUGUCUUGGCAUCAAACAAAUGGCAAGAUUGAUUGGGCAUCAGUGUUCGUAACAAGCAACAAAAAAAUGGUUAACAUAAAAUUGUUCAAUUAUUUGCUGGGGCAACAGCAUAACAAGAGCCCGAAUAUUAAGAAGUCCGCAAUGGAACAAGCAGGAAAAGCCGCAUAUCCAACUCUCAUGUCCUGUUUGGACCGGUUGUAUGGUCUGUACAUGCAUCAUCUUUGCUCUUCUGCUUGCUCGAUCAAUGGAGUGCACUGUUUUAGAAAGAUGGCAAAAAAGCAUCAUUAGCCAAACGAGUUUGAGACUUCGUAAUGUGGCUUCAAGGAAUUUUGGUACUAACCCUGUACGAUUAGUAGCCAACGAUGACAUGGCAGCCUCCUAUGCCAAGUACGAAGAUCAGCGGCACAAUGGAAGCCCACCAAACAGCCUUGCCGAUGGUGAAAUGGCGCCCAUUGGCGUCACGCGAGCACGCCAACCAAUAUGCAGCAAGAGUUUCUCCAACUCCCGCGACAAAAAUGGCGGCGAGGCCACAGUAAUAUGCGAGCGGGUGGUGGAGGAAAAGAACACCGCUCGCCGACUUGUACAAGGCCGUUCCAAUAGCGAUGACCAAGGUCGGGACGCUGAUCUUGCAUAUGUCCCGGGCGAGCUGCUGCGUCCGUUGGUCCAUGCUAGCGGACUCCUGGACCUGGUCUGGAGGCAUCUGGAUGGUGUGGUCGUCGUUGCCGGUGCCCUGUCCAAGUUAAAAAAAAAAGCUUAGUUAUAUAGAGGAGAAGAAAACAACAAUAUGGAAGGAGAGGUCUGGCUGGUGAGCGAGUCUUUUUUUUAUUUUUUUGCUCGUGAGCUCCAU
Molecule: long non-coding RNA, 2399 nt
Organism: Triticum dicoccoides
Lineage: Eukaryota; Viridiplantae; Streptophyta; Magnoliopsida; Poales; Poaceae
Exons: 4
Source: RefSeq, a predicted model, not a curated record